Long non-coding RNA from Amblyraja radiata (thorny skate), 3653 nucleotides. RefSeq lists it as uncharacterized. The record is from RefSeq and is a predicted model, not a curated record. The transcript has 2 exons. Lineage: Eukaryota; Metazoa; Chordata; Chondrichthyes; Rajiformes; Rajidae.
GACACCAAAGCCUUGCGUGCGGUGACGCCAGGGCGGCGGGCACUAGGACCCGGCACUGCCGCCGUACAAUGGCCCCUCUUCUCUCCCUCGGCCUGUUGGCCGCUUUACCUUGGCUCGCCCUGGGCCAGGACCGGGACCGGACGCCGGGGGCCCAGGAGCGGCCCUACAACGUGCUCAAGUACCAGAACGUCGUUCUGACUGUCAGUGUCCUGAGCGUUCUGCUUCUUAUCAUGAUUAUAAUGGUGAUCUGUGUGUACAAACCCAUCCGUCGGCGGUGAAAGUGUUGGGAGUUCUUCAUUUAAUUUCAGCUGAAUAGAGAUUUCUUUUUCAAUAUUGUGGUUUACAUUCCUGCUGGCACCCCAAGUGCAUGUGAAGCCAAUCACUUUGGCACUUUCCUUCCGUUUGACAACUUUGCCAAAGGAUUGGAACACUGUUAAUGGACUAAUAUGCGAGUCAACGUGAAGAUCUGGCUUCUGACCGACCUGUGAAAGUCCUGUGCAGUUAAAUGUACUCCAAACUACAUCCGAAAAGGUGGGAAGAAGUGGCCUACCACCAGAUCUUCAUUUAACAUCUAUAAAUAAUUUAUAUACAGUGCAAAGUGAGACAUAACUUCGAUAUUAUACUGUGCAAUGAACUGUCGAAAAUCCUUUAGUGACAAAAUUGGCAUUAUCCUUCUCAUCCCUCAUCCUUCGCAUUAAACAUUCAGUAACUGAUGGGCACUAACCAGAGUGCCACACAUGGAUAGAUAACAAUCUUUUUGUAACCUUCCUUGUGUGUAGUUGUAGUAGUAGUAGUAGUUGAGUAUCUGUUCUGCUUGUUUAGUAAAUUGUAGCAAAAGUCCAAGAGUUAUCGCAUGGAGAAAAGGUAGCAGGAACUCCAAAACCAAGUAUGUGGUCUAACUGACUAUACGUGCUACUUUUUAAUUAUGCAUUUACUUACUUUCCACUUGCUAGGAGGGUUGUUCUGGAUGCAGGGGUGGGUUAAGCUUAGAAAUUCAAUAAACUUUCAAGACAUGAUCAUGGAUCGAUUCAAGAUAUUCGGGAUGGAUUUAGGGAAAUGUUGGGGGGGUGGGGGGGGAAGCAUUGGAAAUUAUUUGUUAUUCACAAAUGCUUUGUGAAUAACAAAUAAUGUGAAUAAGAAAGAAGCCGAGUUAAUGUUUCAGAUUGGUACUUUUUUUUUCCUAGAGCUGACAUUCCUUAACUGACAGGAGUAUUUCUAACUGGAAUCUGUCUCGCCUAUCAAGGAUUGUAUUUUUUGACCAAUCUGGCUGGUGCAUGAAAUUGUUCUGGUGCAUCAAAAUUUACAACCUGCAUUAAUACUCUUAUAAACUUCCAUCCCUCCCAUCAAAUAAUACCAGUCUUAGAGAACAAAAAAAUUAACAAACUGACAUUUUAUUGUUACGAGAAAACACUAUUUUUCAAGAAAUCUGCAAUAGAACGGUGCAAUUAUUAUCUAUUUUAUCUACUAUUGAAUUUGUCAGUAGAUUGGUCGGCACAUGGUCGGUGGGCCGGACGGCCUGUUUCCCUAAAAUCUAAAGUCCACAUCAGGAUAAACCAGGAUUUGCAUGUUUUAACUUGCUAAAUAAUGAGAAAUCUUGAAAUUACUGAUUGGGGAUUUCAUAAGUGACUGCAGGUAAAUCUUUUAACUUAAAAAGUUGAUUAGGUUUUCAAAAACAAAUCACCAACUACAGAGGAAAUGUUACUGCAGAUGCUGAAAUCUGGAGCAAAAAAAACAAACUGCUGGAGGAACUUGGUGGGUCAGGCAGCAUAGAUCUGAAAAGCUACUAUCUAUCUCCUGUCUGAACUGGAUACUUCAAAACCAUUUGACCAGAUUAAUCUUGUAAUGUGUACUGAAGAUAAUUGAUGGUAAUUAAAUAAUGACACUUAUUUAAUUUAAAUUAAUUAUUGAUGCUGCUGAUAUGAUAAUCUUUCACAUCAAGCUGGAUAGUACCAGGAAAACUCAAUAUCCUGCACCUGGUUAAGGAUAUUAAACAUCUUGAUUUAUUUAUAUUUUUACGUUAUAUAUUCAGAUUAAAAGCAGAUUUUACCUUGCCUGUUACCAAAACCCUGGUGAGGCCACUGGAAUAUUGUGUAUAGAUCUACCUCUCUACUUAAGGAAGGAUUUACUUAUGAUGGGAGGGUGUGCAGCAAAGAUUAAUUUCUGGGAUGAACAGUUUGUUUUGUGAGGAGAAAUUAAGUAGACUAAUCCUUUACUCUCCAAAGGUUGAAAGAAUGAAAGUGAUCUAAUUGAAACAUACAAAGUUUUUAAAUGAUUUGUCAGGAUAGAUGCAGAUAAUGUCUCUUCAUAGGGCCUUCUCAACAGAUCAAAGAUCAGUCUGAAUAAGGGACAUUCUGAACUUGACGGAAGAGACAUUUCUUAAUUGAUGGGGAGUGAAAUGAAUCUUUGGACUACUUUAUGUGAGGGCUGUGGAGAUGAGACUGCUGUGUAUAUUCAGUGUGGGUUUGAUUUUUGGUUAUGAAAGCAUAUGGAGUUAGUAAGUGAAAAUGGAGCUGUGGAGGAAGAUCAGUCUAUGAUCCUAUUGAAUGGUAGAGAAGGUGCAGGAGGGUGAAUGCCAACUUCUUCUGGUAGCCGUCAAACAAUAUUAUUUCUUAGAACCAAUUGCUUUCAUCUUGCAAGCAUAUGACUGCUUACCACCUAGUGGAACCAGGGAAGCAGUUUAACUGGAACUUCACCCCCUGUAGGUAGACACAAAAAGCUGGAGUAACUCAGCGAGACAGGCAGCAUCUCUGGAGAGAAAGAAUGGGUGACGUUUCGGAUCGAGACUCACGAGUAGGUUUCGCUUUUGAAUCGCGCACCAUCCUGACUUGGAAAUAAAUUGCUGCUUCUUCAUCAUCACACAAUAUAAAUCCUGGAGGUCCGACAGCAUUGAGGGGGCACUUUCAACACAAUAACUACAACAGUUAAAGAAAGCAGCUCACCACCAAGGGCAUCGAUUUACUGAAACAAAUAUUUAUUAAAAGUUUUGAAAUGUAAAACAAGGCGGUGAACUCACUUAAUGCAGAUAGCAGGAUGUUAGUUCUUAAGUCUUGAGAGAAACUCUAAUCAAUGUUAGUAAUAAUAUGCACUGUUUACAAUCUGGCUUGUGUACUUGUACCUUUUUAUAAAACCAGUUGAUGGUAUUAUAGACAUGAUAUUUUGAAAGCUGUGUACCAUAUUUGGCCCAGCUUUAUUGUUUGCAAACAAAGCUAUUUUUUUUUUGCCACAUCUGUACUUAAAUGAAUCUACAGUAAGGUCUGUUUUUAGUACUGCUAAUAAUGCACAGAUUUACUUUGCACUAGUUAUUGUUUUAUAGAUGAACUGGAAUUUUUCCUUAAUCUUUAUUGCACACUGGACAAGUUAUUUAUUUUUAAGUUUUAAAUUUGUUUCAUUGAAUGUGUGAAAUUUACAUGUAUAGUACUGCUGCAUUUAUUUUCAUAGAAAAAUAGGUGCAGGAGUAGGCCAUUCGGCCCUUCGAGCAAGCACUGCCAUUCAAUAUGAUCAUGGCUGAUCAUCUAAAAUCAGUAACCUGUUCCUGCUUUUUCCCCCAUAUCCCUUGAUUCCUUUAGCCCCAAGAGCUUUCCUUUUGUAUCACAGUGGUUUGCCUCUCAGUAUGAUGAUAGGUUUUGAUUAAAUGAUUGCUUCUCCAAUUUUAA